RNAcentral lists this ribosomal RNA (253 nucleotides) under uncultured bacterium. RNAcentral's name for it is "partial 16S ribosomal RNA". It matches the Rfam family "Bacterial small subunit ribosomal RNA", at positions 524 to 776 of the family's 1533-position model. The record is from RNAcentral.
UACGAAGGGGGCUAGCGUUGCUCGGAAUUACUGGGCGUAAAGCGCACGUAGGCGGUCUUUUAAGUCGGGGGUGAAAGCCCGAGGCUCAACCUCGGAACUGCCUUCGAUACUGCGGGUCUCGAGUCCGGGAGAGGUGAGUGGAAUUCCUAGUGUAGAGGUGAAAUUCGUAGAUAUUAGGAAGAACACCAGUGGCGAAGGCGGCUCACUGGCCCGGUACUGACGCUGAGGCGCGAAAGCGUGGGGAGCAAACAGG